AUAUUACUCCCUCCGUCCGGAAAUACUUGUCAUCAAAAUUAAUAAAAGAGGAUGUAUCUAGAUGUAUUUUAGUUCUACAUACAUCCUUUCCUAUCCAUUUUGAUGACAAGUAUUUUCGGACGGAGGGAGUACAUA
Triticum aestivum (bread wheat) is the source of this 135-nucleotide non-coding RNA. The record is from Rfam. NCBI's taxonomy places the organism in Eukaryota, Viridiplantae, Streptophyta, Magnoliopsida, Poales, Poaceae.